Molecule: unclassified non-coding RNA, 333 nt
Organism: Bison bison bison
Lineage: Eukaryota; Metazoa; Chordata; Mammalia; Artiodactyla; Bovidae
Gene: 7SK
Rfam family: 7SK RNA
About the family: 7SK was discovered as an abundant small nuclear RNA in the mid-70s but a possible function has only recently been suggested. Two independent studies have found that 7SK RNA binds the CDK9/cyclin T complex (known as elongation factor P-TEFb).
Source: Ensembl
GUAUGUGAGGCUGAUCUGAUUGUGACACCUGUCAUCUGGUUGAUCCGCCAGGAUUGAUUCAGCUGAUUCAGAUGGCUAGACGGGUGUCCCCUUCUUCCCCCACCUCUGCAUGUGUGUCCCUCGUGAAGCCACACUCUCUGUCAAAGAGGACUACCUUCCCCCACAGAGGAGGACCGUUGUUUGGUCAAGGGUAUACGAGUAACUGAGCUCCCUUGCUAGAGCCUCCAAACAAGCUCUUAAGAUAUUUCUGUCUCUAAACUCUGGUCUGCAAGAACACAGGAAACAUAAGUCAUUCAUCCAAUUAUUUAUUCAUUCAUGAAUGCAUAAAACAUU